RNAcentral lists this ribosomal RNA (250 nucleotides) under uncultured Staphylococcus sp. Its description in RNAcentral is "partial 16S ribosomal RNA". It matches the Rfam family "Bacterial small subunit ribosomal RNA", at positions 90 to 334 of the family's 1533-position model. The record is from RNAcentral. Lineage: Bacteria; Bacillati; Bacillota; Bacilli; Caryophanales; Staphylococcaceae.
CGUUAGCGGCGGACGGGUGGGUAACACGUGGAUAACCUACCUAUAAGACUGGGAUAACUUCGGGAAACCGGAGCUAAUACCGGAUAAUAUAUUGAACCGCAUGGUUCAAUAGUGAAAGACGGUUUUGCUGUCACUUAUAGAUGGAUCCGCGCCGCAUUAGCUAGUUGGUAAGGUAACGGCUUACCAAGGCAACGAUGCGUAGCCGACCUGAGAGGGUGAUCGGCCACACUGGAACUGAGACACGGUCCAG